RNAcentral lists this unclassified non-coding RNA (138 nucleotides) under uncultured Rozellomycota. Its description in RNAcentral is "uncultured Cryptomycota sequence contains ITS2". The record is from RNAcentral. Lineage: Eukaryota; Fungi; Rozellomycota.
UCCUCUGCAGCAAUGCGAUUUGACUCGUGUCUUUGUUGACCGAGUUUAAACAGAGCUAGAGGAUGGUCAGUUUGGCCUAGUCCGAGUGCUAAGCAUUCUUGGGCCUAGGCUGGAUUGGUCAUUAAAUCUAUCUUUUAU